GGAGAAAUGGCUGAGAGGUUAAAAGCGGUGGAUUGCUAAUCCAUUAUAUAGAAUUUUUUUUAUAUCAAGGGUUCGAAUCCCUUUUUCUCCG
RNAcentral lists this transfer RNA (91 nucleotides) under Tydemania expeditionis. RNAcentral's name for it is "tRNA-Ser". It matches the Rfam family "tRNA". Rfam says of the family: Transfer RNA (tRNA) molecules are approximately 80 nucleotides in length. Their secondary structure includes four short double-helical elements and three loops (D, anti-codon, and T loops). Lineage: Eukaryota; Viridiplantae; Chlorophyta; Ulvophyceae; Bryopsidales; Halimedaceae. The record is from RNAcentral.